GAUGAACGCUGGCGGCGUGCCUAAUACAUGCAAGUCGAGCGAACGGACGAGAAGCUUGCUUCUCUGAUGUUAGCGACGGACGGGUGAGUAACACGUGGAUAACCUACCUAUAAGACUGGGAUAACUUCGGGAAACCGGAGCUAAUACCCGACGAUAUUUUGAACCGCAUGGUUCAAAAGUGAAAGACGGUCUUGCUGUCACUUAUAGAUGGAUCCGCGCUGCAUUAGCUAGUUGGUAAGGUAACGGCUUACCAAGGCAACGAUGCAUAGCCGACCUGAGAGGGUGAUCGGCCACACUGGAACUGAGACACGGUCCAGACUCCUACGGGAGGCAGCAGUAGGGAAUCUUCCGCAAUGGGCGAAAGCCUGACGGAGCAACGCCGCGUGAGUGAUGAAGGUCUUCGGAUCGUAAAACUCUGUUAUUAGGGAAGAACAUAUGUGUAAGUAACUGUGCACAUCUUGACGGUACCUAAUCAGAAAGCCACGGCUAACUACGUG
RNAcentral lists this ribosomal RNA (497 nucleotides) under uncultured bacterium. RNAcentral's name for it is "partial 16S ribosomal RNA". It matches the Rfam family "Bacterial small subunit ribosomal RNA", at positions 28 to 507 of the family's 1533-position model. The record is from RNAcentral.